This 2383-nucleotide long non-coding RNA is filed under the name Piliocolobus tephrosceles (Ugandan red Colobus). Its description in RNAcentral is "lncRNA (ENSPTEG00000038500.1)". The record is from RNAcentral. Lineage: Eukaryota; Metazoa; Chordata; Mammalia; Primates; Cercopithecidae.
AACACGGAACACGAAACGUACACAUCACAAACAUUAAAUAUAUAUAAGAGCUUUCUUUUUUCUCUUUCGAUCGUUUCUUAUUAAACCUGUUUUUUUUUUUUUUUUUUUUGUUUAGCAUAUUUUUUUUUUUUUUUCAAACUUGUUUUUUUAUCAAUCCGCCUUAUCCCUUUAUACAAUGAUCUGGAAAAAUAUCACAUGAAGGUUUUAUAGUGGCAUAGAAAAUUAUGGUAACAAAAAAACAUAUGGUAAGAUAAAAAAAAAAAAAAAAAACAUAUAAUGAUAUUUUUGGCUAAAUUUUUAUUAUUACGAACGUAUGUGUUAUUCAUUAUAUGGAAGCUAAUAUUAUUUUUUGCUGAUGAUGUUCAUUCAACUGUACUUAAGCGUUGGCAUAAAACAUUAAGCCCAGUUAAUCAUGACAACGCGAGUAACAUAUACAGCUUAAUGCAUUUAGAUAAACAAUAUGAUUGCUUAUUUGAAAAAAAAAAAAAUAAAAUAAAAAAUGCUUUAUACUUUUAUAAGCAAAAAAACAAUGCUCCCAAUGUACGUAACACGUUUUUUUCAAAUUUUAACAAAAAACACUUUUUUAUAAGACCCAAAUAUCUUAAGAUUUUGAAUAAUAAUAUAUAUGGUGAUCUUAAUAAAGUGAGUGAUAAAAAUGCAAGUCAUUUAAUACAUAGAAAUAGAUUAAAACACGAAAACACACACGAUGUUAGUAUUUCCGAAGUUACUAAUAAAACCAAUAUAAACAGCUAUCACGAUUAUGGCGAUAUAAAGGUUGUUGAGGGUGAAGACUCGGUUUCGCAAGACGGUAGUAGUGGUGGUAGUGUAAGUAGCAGUGACGGUAGCGGUAGUCGCGUAAACGAUGAAGACAAGAUCGAAGAAACAAUCGAUAAGUACGAACUUGUGAACGAACAUAUACUGAUAAAAAAGGACAGUAAAAGCAUAAAAGAUUUGAUGGAAGAACGUAUAUGGGUGUUUCCCGAAGAAAAUAUAAAAAUGAUAAGAGAAAGAACAGAACAAAAGUUAAAUUGGAAUUAUAUUUUAAAAAAAAAUAAUCUUUUAUUAAAUGAUAACGUUAAUAAAAUAUAUGAAGGAAUAUAUAAAAAAAAUAAUAUUGAUGAUAUUUUUUUUAUUUUUGAGACUUAUCCUUAUAAUUAUUUAAAUAUUACUAUGAGCGUUUUUUCUUUAUAUAAAAUUGCUACUAGCUUUUUAAAUGAGCAAAAAACAAAAAUGAAUCAAAAAUGGAAGAAUAAAAAUGAGAGUGAAAAAUAUUUUUUUAUAAAUGAACAAGGCGAUGAGAGUGAGAACGGUUUAUCAGUGCAUGAUAAUCAACCACUUAUUAAAAAAAUAAUUAACGAAGAAGCUAACAAUAAAACAAACGAAACAGAUGACAUGUUUAUCGUCGAUAAUACAGAUAAAGAAACAUAUAACAUUCAUUUAUUUAAAAUCAAAGAAGAAAGAAAAAGACUUAGUUAUAUAACUAAUAAUCGAAAUUUCAAAAGAAUAAUUGGUUCUAUUUAUAAACAUUUAAAAAUUAUAUAUAAAACAUUCACGACUAAUUAUAAAUUAACAGCUUAUGAAAAAAAUAAAAAUAUAUAUAACUAUAUUCCAUAUAUUAAUAUAAUAGAUAUUAUUACUAUUUUAAAAUCUUUUUGUAUAUUAAAAUAUGAUCAUACGCAUAUAUAUAAAUAUAUAUAUUUUUUUAUUGUUUUUUUUAUUAACAAGUUUGACAUUGAAUAUUUAACUGAGGUUGUUUAUUUGUGUAUUAUAAAACAAAUUUAUAUUAAGCCUCUGUUUGAAAAUUAUACUAAGAGAAUGCUUUUGUAUUUUCAAGAAGAAAAUGAUAAAGUGGAAAAACAUGAUGACCAUGUGGAAGGAAUAAUACGAAGUGAUGAUUGUUCAAAUCAAAAAGACCAGCAAAAUAAGUCAAGUCCUGACGACGCAAAUUUGUUUUCAUCUAUUCAGACUGAUAACAAAACUCUGGUAAAUAAAAAGGAAAAGGAACAGAAUCAUAUAGCAGGACUACACGAAGCAAAUGCUUAUAAUAACAUAACUUCUUUAUACGAAGAAAUAGAUAUAAACGUUAUAGAUAAGAAUAUAGGAAAGAUGCUUAGUGAAUACGGUGAUGAUUACACUAUUACUGCUACUACUACUACUGCUAAUGCUACUGCCACUACUACUGCCACUACUACUACUACUACUGCUACUACCACUGCUAAUGCUACUGCCACUACUACUACCACUACUACUACUACUACUGCUACUACCACUGCUACUCCCACCACAGAUGCCAAUUGCGAACAAACGUUUUUUUAUAUGCGUCCUUUUAACUAUUCCAUUUAUCAUUCAGCAAAUUAUUCAAAUUUAAAUUAUAGUGUUGAUG